CAAGUUAGAGCUUAGAGAGCAUUUUAUUUACAUUAAAAAGAUAAUUUUUUGAAGAAAAAUUAAUUUGA
Molecule: transfer RNA, 68 nt
Filed under: Discolomatinae sp. GENSP01
Lineage: Eukaryota; Metazoa; Arthropoda; Insecta; Coleoptera; Discolomatidae
Description: tRNA-Val
Source: RNAcentral